Schistosoma rodhaini is the source of this 48-nucleotide non-coding RNA. NCBI's taxonomy places the organism in Eukaryota, Metazoa, Platyhelminthes, Trematoda, Strigeidida, Schistosomatidae. The record is from Rfam.
AUCCAACUGACGAGUCCCAAAUAGGACGAAACGCGAGUCAAACUGCAU